AACUUUGAGAGCUUUUGGAUCUUUUCGCCCCCACACCCUGGGGAAAUUGCCUGCUACUCUUGGAUGAGCAAACAUAAAAGUCGAGCUAAGCCACUCGAUCCCAUCCCCAUCAUGUGCUGUGCACCUCCUGACCUGAGACCUGCUCGGGAUAGCCAUCUAGUAACAUCACUCAUCAUGCUUCUGAGUCUUCCAUCUCGUGCCUGAUCCAUCUCCACCUGGAGCUCCACCUCACACUGGGCUCCUACUGGCAUCCUCCAUAUAAAUGGCUCCUUGUACAAGAAAGCAUCGAUUAAUCCUUCACGAUUGAUCUCCAUCUUGAUUGUGCCUAUCUUCUCUUUCUUCAAUCUUGAUCACCACUGCUGCAACACGCACUCUGGUACCGUCCGGUUCUGAUACCAUUUGUUGUGCAUGAUAUCACUCACUCUAAUAUCAUUUAUUGUACAGGAUCUAAUACUGCUCGA
Molecule: long non-coding RNA, 461 nt
Filed under: Elaeis guineensis (African oil palm)
Lineage: Eukaryota; Viridiplantae; Streptophyta; Magnoliopsida; Arecales; Arecaceae
Description: long non-coding RNA (EGUI_LNC020553)
Source: RNAcentral